CGGACGGGUGAGUAACGCGUGAGAAUCUGCCCUCUGGUCGGGGACAACCACGGGAAACGGUGGCUAAUACCGGAUAGGCCGCAAGGUGAAAGAUUUAUUGCCAGAAGAGGAGCUCGCGUCUGAUUAGCUAGUUGGUGGGGUAAAAGCCUACCAAGGCGGCGAUCAGUAGCUGGUCUGAGAGGAUGAGCAGCCACACUGGGACUGAGACACGGCCCAGACUCCUACGGGAGGCAGCAGUGGGGAAUUUUCCGCAAUGGGCGAAAGCCUGACGGAGCAAUACCGCGUGAGGGAGGAAGGCUCUUGGGUCGUAAACCUCUUUUGUCAAGGAAGAAGAUCUGACGGUACUUGACGAAUAAGCAUCGGCUAACUCCGUGCCAGCAGCCGCGGUAAUACGGAGGAUGCAAGCGUUAUCCGGAAUUAUUGGGCGUAAAGCGUCCGCAGGUGGCGUGUCAAGUCUGCUGUUAAAGACCGGGGCUAAACUCCGGAAAGGCAGUGGAAACUGAAACGCUAGAGUGCAGGAGGGGUAGAGGGAAUUCCCGGUGUAGCGGUGAAAUGCGUAGAUAUCGGGAAGAACAUCGGUGGCGAAAGCGCUCUACCGGACUGCAACUGACACUCAGGGACGAAAGCUAGGGGAGCGAAUGGGAUUAGAUACCCCAGUAGUCCUAGCCGUAAACGAUGGAUACUAGGUGUGGCUUGUAUCGACCCGAGCCGUGCCGUAGCUAACGCGUUAAGUAUCCCGCCUGGGGAGUACGCGCGCAAGCGUGAAACUCAAAGGAAUUGACGGGGGCCCGCACAAGCGGUGGAGUAUGUGGUUUAAUUCGAUGCAACGCGAAGAACCUUACAAGGGCUUGACAUGUCGCGAAUCUUGGUGAAAGCUGAGAGCGCCUACGGGAGCGCGAACACAGGUGGUGCAUGCCUGUCGUCAGCUCGUGUCGUGAGAUGUUGGGUUAAGUCCCGCAACGAGCGCAACCCUCGUUUUUAGUUGCCAUCAUUAAGUUGGGCACUCUAGAGAGACUGCCGGUGACAAACCGGAGGAAGGUGGGGAUGACGUCAAGUCAGCAUGCCCCUUACGUUCUGGGCUACACACGUACUACAAUGGUGAGGACAAAGGGCAGCGAACCCGCGAGGGCAAGCCAAUCCCAUCAAACCUCGCCUCAGUUCAGAUUGCAGGCUGCAACUCGCCUGCAUGAAGG
Molecule: ribosomal RNA, 1193 nt
Filed under: Hyalidium penicilliforme FK09-4
Lineage: Bacteria; Bacillati; Cyanobacteriota; Cyanophyceae; Oscillatoriales
Description: bacterial SSU rRNA
Rfam family: Bacterial small subunit ribosomal RNA
Source: RNAcentral